RNAcentral lists this long non-coding RNA (7520 nucleotides) under Theobroma cacao (cacao). RNAcentral's name for it is "long non-coding RNA (TCAC_LNC005727)". The record is from RNAcentral. Lineage: Eukaryota; Viridiplantae; Streptophyta; Magnoliopsida; Malvales; Malvaceae.
GGGAAUCUGCUUUCUCUUGCAUCUCCAAUGCAAGCUCUAACAUUAGCUCCACUUCACCCAUCUCAGGCCGUGUAUCUCCCUUCUCACUGAUACAACAAUAAGCGAUAUCCACGAAUAUUUUGAAACACUCUGGAGCUAUCCUCCCUUUUAGAUGUGGGUCAAUUAUAUUAUAAAUGGUUCCUUUGCCUAUACAGUGACGGACCCAAUCAGGUAGACGUAGUUCAUACUCGUCCAAUGUUGGAUCAACCACCUCUCUAGCACACAAAAUUAAAUGGUUUAAUAGUCGCCACCAAUCUUUUUUUAUCUAGGUGUGAUUGAUCACCUAUUAACCCGAUUCUAAUCGACGAAGUCCUAAAUUAAUUUUAGGUCCGUCGAAAAAACGAGAACGGAUCCACGUCUUUUUAGAGAUAGGUUCGGGAGCGCGAUUACGCACGGAAAAGGGUUAGCACCUCCGUGGCGCCCGUUUCAUGAACGGUACCAUUUAAUCUUAAGUUAUCCUAUUAUAGCUUACUUUUGAUUUAAUCCCUACUUAUUAACUAAAUUUUUAUUAAAUUGACUGCCUGAGUCUUUUAUUUGGUUUUACGUAUGCAUGUGAUGCAAGCGUAAAAUGAUGUCAUGACUCAUUUAUUUUAAAAAUGGGGUCGGUAAUCUUUUAUUGAAAAAUUAUUCGAAGACCAUCCCAACGUUUUGGUGAAGUCUCGAAAUUCUCCUCACCUAGAGAUAUCCCCGGAAGAACUCGUCUCUACAAGCUCUUCGGGGAAAUCCCAUCAUCGGAAUUCUCGCACCAUUUGCAAGAUAAAUAUGGCGUGCUAUGACAGGAUAAAAUGCUGAUGUCUACAUGCACGCGUUUAUUGAAUUAGGUGGUUCAUAAUUCACUCAACUAUAUAUUUAAUAAUUUAUCAUUUUGUUUAUAUGUUUAUUAUUAUCUAUUUUUUUUCAUGGAUUAUUUAUUUAUUUUUAUAUUUUUUUUGCUUUCUACUUAAAUCCAUAUCCUUUAAUUAACGUUUUUUUCAUUAAUAUUUUACUUGAUUAUAUAGCUUAUCAAAUAAUUAAUUAAUUUAUUUUCUUUAACGAUUAAAUUAACUUUAUUUAGUAAUAUUUAUUUAAACUAAUUAACUAAUAUAAGUUCAAAUACAAUAUUAUGUAAAUCUAUUAUUUUUUAAUAUAUAUGUCAUUUUUUAACAAUGAUUAUUUGACUUAACAGGUAUUAGAGUUUAGAGUUCGGAUUUAUCCCGACGCUUCGGUGAAAAUUCGUCUUGAACUUCGCAUCCGAAAAACAUCCACCCGAAAGAGGCAACUCUUUGCCCCUUUUUUAAGCAGAAUUCUAUUAUUGUAUUAACUCAAAUUAACCACUUGAUUUUUUUAAAACUUGUAAUUUAAUAUUAUAUUGUACAUUCUAUAUAUUUAUAAAUACCUAGAACAUUUUAUUUUCUCUUGCCUUUACAACUAAUUAUAAUUUAUUCUCAUUUUUUUUCUUUUUAUUUUUUUAGACCCAUUUCUAUUAUUUAUUAAUUAUUUUAUACAUAUUUAAAAAACUAAGUACUUUCUAAUCUUCCAUUUAAUUAAUUAAUAAUUUUUUUUGCCUUGUUCAUUCUCCUAUUUUUUGUUAUAUAUAUAUAUAUAUAUAUAUAUUUAUACAUGCAUAUCUAUUAAUUUACUACAUCUACUAUCUAUUGUAUUAAAGAUUUUCAUUUUUAGCUUUUAUAUGUUUUAUUUUUCAUAUGCAUAAAUUUCAAACAACACCAAAAAUAAUAAAACUAUUAUAACACUCAAACAAGAAAUUAAAUAAUCACUUUCAAUAACUCAAGCCCAAACCAUUAUUUAAUGAUUAAGUCCAAUACCUAUUGGGUUGUAGCUAACCCACUGCUCCAAAUGGGUUCAAGCUCCACUGGGCUUCAAAGGUCUCCUCCAAUUCGGUCUGGGCCCAAAGGGCCUGCUGCACUUGUUUUUUGGUUUGGGCUUGAAUAGUCCAAGAAUGCCUUAGCCCAAGGAAGAAAUCAAGCUUGUUGCAACAGCCCACUUAAUCCUCUUCAAUGUGCACCGUUUUUGGCUUCAAAAAAUGCUUCAAAACAACGUCGUUUUGGUCUUUUAUACCUAGGUAUAAAGCUUCUUUUUCUUUUCUCUCUCUUCACUUUCCUCUCUCACUUUCUCUCUCUUGCCGCCACUCUCUCUAUCUUCUCCUUAAGCUUUUCUUUUUUUUUUCUUUCUCCUUCUUCCUCUCUCUCCCAACCGUAACACUCCCACCACCGGCGCCUCUCUUUCCUUUCCUAUGCCGACCUCUCACCUCUCUCUCUCUCUUCGUCUUCUUCUUUUUUUUUUUUUGCUUUUUUUUGGGGGUUAAUUGUUGUGUUUUUUUUUGUUUCAGUUUUUUUUAUGGCUUUUUUUUUUUGCAGGAGAUGAAUCGGGUGCCCUUUGCUUUGCUCUCUCCUUUUCUUUAAAAAAUGGGGUUGUCCAAAAAAUUUGGACAACCCAGUAAUGGGGUUCUGGCACCAAAGAGUUGGUAGCCAGAGCCCCAUUACUCAUGGUGGUUGGGGAAGGGAUGGCUGGGCAUACGCCCAGCCAUACCUCUCUUUUUCUUGUGUUUUUAAUUAUUUUAUUAUUUUUAUUUUUUAUUUUAUUAUUAUAUAUAUUUUAGAGGUGUUUACACACACCUUUGAAAUGUACAACCGAUUCAACAAUUCUUUACUCAAUCUUUAUAUGGUAUCAAAGCCUCUCUAGCUCCAACGAGUCUUGUUCGAUCCUAUCCAUUGACCUUUUUCUUUUUUUUUUCAAAACAAAAAAACCAUGUCAGAAGCCAGCUCCAACCUCACAAACCAUGUCCCAGCAUCAAACUCUUCACUCUUAGACAGCUUGAUAACUAUCAAUGCCUCAUUACUACCAGUAAAACUUUCACAUACCAACUACCCCUCUUGGAAAUCCCAAUUCGAUGUCUUACUUCUCGGAUAUAAUCUUAUCAGUUUUGUAGAUGGGACAAAUCCAUGUCCUCUCAAGGAAAAGACUAUUGAUGGUAAAAUAGUCCCAACCACCUUCUUUGGUACCGUCAAGAUCAACUCCUUAAAAUAGGAAUCAUGACCUCUCUCACUGAGCUCAUCAUUCCAAUGAUUAGUUCUGCUAAAACAUCCAAAGACGUUUGGGAUCGUCUCUCUACUGCACUAGCAAGUGCCUCAACCUCUCGCAUCAUGGGCCUCACGGAUCAGUUAGCCAACAUCACUAAAGGAACCAUGACGGUCUCAGAAUAUAUUGGAAAAAUUCGCUCAAUAGCCGAUGAGCUAGCCCUUGCUGGAUCCGUUGUUCCCAACACUAACUUGAUUCUCCAUGUUCCAAAUGGAGUGGGAUCUGAAUACAAAGAUAUAGCUGCUGCUGUUCGAGCUCGCGACACACCAAUAAGUCUUGAGGAACUUCAUGAUAAACUCAUUGAAUAUGAGUCUUUUCUUGCACAAGAAGUGGCCAAACAUGCAAAUGGUUUCACUGCAAAUGCUGCUCAGUAUAAUCGCAACAAGUCCUCUCAUUCUCAAUACAACAAUCGGUCCAAUGAUCAACAUUCACAAUUUCGAUUCAACCAAUAUACAGAUCAUCACUCAAAUGGAAAUUCUAAGCAAAGCGGUGGCUACACAAAUAACAACAACAGUUCUAAACGAAACUUCUUUUUCCAAUACUGCAACAAAAAGGCCAUCUUGCCAAAGAUUGCCACACCCUCAAGCGCUUGCUGGGUAUUCUUGUUCCUCCUAAGGCCAAUCCCUGCGAGCACGUUAAGCUUUUUGUAAUUGUAAGCUUUUUGUAAUUGUUCAGGAACUUUACCACCUAUGCUUGAGUUUUAUGUCAAUAAAGUCUUUGACAUCAUAGUCUAAGACUUUGGUUGGGCAUACUUGCUUUGGUUCAAAUAAAUAACAACCACUUUUUAAAAAAUAAAAAAACGUAUACAUUUUCAUGGUCCAAUUAAAUAUAUAAUUUACACAUAAAAAAAUAUGGUAUGAUUCUGUUUAAACAUGAAAUUUCACAUGGUAAUGUUCACCAUUGAUCUUUCUUAAGACUCAUGUCAAAACAUGAAUUUUAUUCAUAGUGUUUUACAUUUAUAAAAAUACAAAAAUCGAGUACUUAAUAAGUAUUAUUAGAAAAGUUGUUAAUGUAAUUUUUAUAUUGAAUUAAAUAAAUAUGAUAUUUUGAAUAACAAAUUUCCAAAAUUAUCUUUUAUUGUGUAAUCUAAAUUAAAGUAGUAUUAAUAAAUUAGAUGGUCUACAUGUAAAACAUUGCUUGAUUAUUCAGGAGUUGGAUUUUUGCUGCACGUGUUUGGUGAACCCAAGUCCUUCUUGCCUCAAAUUGGUCGAUUUUUUUUAUUACAUUGAAUUAAUUAUGGAUUAAUUUAUUGGAAAAACUUGAAUUAACUUAGCUAAGCAUCAAUUAUAUGGCCUAAUUUAAAGACCAAUAGGGGCUAACCUUCAUCAAAUAUUGCUUGCCCUCUUAAAAUGUUCCACCUCCCUUUUUCUUUACACUGUUAAUCUAGUUGACUAAUGCUUUGUUUGUUUAUUUAUAAUUUCAAAGAGUUUGGUCUGAAAUACCAGCCAUAGUGUCAUACCCACAUAAACAAACAGCCUAAAAUACUAAAAUACCCAUAAAAAGACAAAAAAAACCAUAUAAAUAAUAUAUUAAGAUUUGAGAAAGAAGACUUAACAUGGACAUUUUAAAUUAGAGAUAGUUAUAUUUAUUAUUGAGAAAAAUUAUCAACAUAUAAAAAAAUUAAAAAAAAUUUAAGGCUUAUGAGAAUGAGAACAAGUAAACUGUUACCUUUCGAACUAGAUUAUUAAACCCAAAGGAGAAUUAAUUAAAUGGAAAAUGAAAAGGAAAGGAAAGGAAAGCAAAACUUGCCUUGAAUUGAAAGGUCACAUCUUACAUGGCCCCUCUUGGGGACACAAACUUGGUUGUCCAUUUUCUCCAAAACUUUCACAACUAAAAAACUUUGUAUUAAAAUCCUUUAACUUUAAUUUACAAAUCUCUCGAUUUUAGAAAAUGUGUAGAUUCAGGUACAGGACCACUAAUUGACAAUAUUGUUUAAAAAUGUAAAGAUAAAAAAAAAAACCAUGUUGUUACAAUUUUAAACUGGUAUCAAUAUCACAAACUGUGGUCAGAAACAGAUAUAGCAAAUGGUACUUCUCUAUGCAUACAUUCACUAUGAGGAUCAACAUCCCUCAUUUGGGAAUCUGCUUUCUCUUGCAUCUCCAAUGCAAGCUCUAACAUUAGCUCUACUUCACCCAUCUCAGGCCGUGUAUCUCCGUUCUCACUGAUACAGGAAUAAGCGAUAUCCACGAAUAUUUUCAAACACUCUGGAGCUAUCUUCCUCUUCAGAUGUGGGUCGAUUAUAUUAUAAAUGGUUCCUUUGUCUAUACACUGACAGACCCAACCAAGUAGAUAUUGUUCAUUCUCAUCCAAUAUUGGAUCAACCACCUUUCUACCACACAAAACUUCAAAUAAAACAACUCCAAAUGAGUACACAUCACUUUUUUCUGAAACUCCAUAACCUUUGAGACACUCAGGAUCCACAUAACCCUUAGUACCCGCCAAUGGUGAAUUAAUUUUUUUCAAAACUUUUGACGUGUUAGAGUAUGAAGGUUGUGGACGCAUCUUGGAGAACGUGAAACUAGAAAGCUUACUAACCCAUUUGUCAUCCAAAAGAAUAUUGCUGCUAUUGACGUCACGGUGAAUUACGGCAUGCUUUGCUCCGGUAUGAAGGUAAUGUAAUCCACGAGCUGCACCAAUACAUAUCUCUAGCCUCUGCUUCCAUGGCAGUGGAUCAUAAUUAGAACCAUAGAGAUGAUCACGGAGUGACCUGUUUUUCAUGAGUUCGUAUACAAGGAUCAACUCAUCCUUAUCAUUGCAGAACCCCAUAAGAGACACGAGAUGUUGGUGGCGCAGCUGGCAGAGCAAUUGCACUUCGGUUCGGAACUCACUGAGUGCAUCUCCUACUGAAUCUGGAAAGAAGCGUUUCACAGCAAUAAAGUUUCCAUCAUCAACAAUCCCUUUGAACACGCUUCCAAAAAAACCUUGAGCAAUAAGAGAUUUUGGAUGAAAAUUGCUGGUAGCAGCUUUGAUCUCGGUUAGAGAAAAUUGACGCUGACGGAUUUCCUCAGGAAGAGCUGCUGGAUAUCUUUUCCUAGCAUGCUUUUCAUUUCCCUUACUUACUGUUCCAUUGCCUGCUGUUUUGGUAAAGACUUUGAAGCACCUUGGAAGAAAAUGUGAAGGGUUUCCCAUGGGGGGAAGAAGUGAAGGAGAAAUGAGCAAGUCCGGAUCUGGAUUGAUAUUUGUGGUGUUAUCUCAUCAAGGAGAAGUCUUGCUUGACUUUGCUUUUGUCAUUCACGUACUUAAACCAUAGUUAAAGACUUUGGCUUCAAGAUCAUCACCGUCAAGAAAUCUAAACUUAAAAUGUCAAAAAACCCCCAUCGUAGAAGACAUGGAAUGACCCUAAUUUAAGUAUACAUUUCCAUACUUAGGCUCUUAGGCCUUUCUCUGUUCUCCAGCCGCCCGUCUUUCCUGGGAGCAGGUUAAGCCUUUUGUAAUUGUACAGGAACUUUACCACUUAUGCUUGAGUUUUAUGUCAAUAAAGUCUUUGACAUCAUAGUCUAAGACUUUGGUUGGGCAUGCUUGCUUUGGUUCGAAUAAAUAACAACCACUUUUUACAAAAUAAAAAAACGUAUACAUUUUCAUGGUCCAAUUAAAUAUAUAAUUUACACAUAAAAAAAUAUGGUAUGAUUCUGUUUAAACAUGAAAUUUCACAUAGUAAUAUUCACCAUUGAUCUUUCUUAAGACUCACGUCAAAACAUGAAUUUUAUUCAUAGUGUUCUACAUUUAUAAAAAUACAAAAAUCGAGUACUUAAUAAGUAUUAUUAGAAAAAUUGUUAAUGUAAUUUUUAUUUUGAAUUAAAUAAAUAUGAUAUUGUGAAUAACGAAUUUUCAAAAUUAUUUUUUAUUGUGUAAUCUAAAUUAAAGUAGUAUUAAUAAAUUUGAUGGUCUACAUGUAAAACAUUGCUUGAUUAUUCCGGAGUUGGAUUUUUAACAGCCUGACUCGGUUUUGGAUUUUGGCAGCACGUGUUUGGUGAAGCCAAAUUUACAAUUGCCACUAAUUUACAAUACUAUUUAAAAACGUAAAGAUUAAAAAAAAAAACUAUUUCGUUACAAUUUUAAACUGGUAUGAAUAUCACAAACUGUGAUCAGAAACAGGUAUAGAAAAUGAUACUUCUCUAUACAUACAUUCAUUAUGAGGAUCAACAUCCCUCAUUUGGGAAUCUAUUUUUUCUUGCAUCUCCAAUGCAAGCUCUAACAUGAGCUCCACUUCACCCAUCUCAGGCCGUGUAUCUCCCUUCUCACUGAUACAGCAAUAAGCGAUAUCCACGAAUAUUUUGAAACACUCUGGAGCUAUCUUCCUCUUCAGAUGUGGGUCGAUUAUAUCAUACAUGGUUCCUUUGCCUAUACACUGACGGACCCAAUCAGGUAGAUGUAUUUCAGACUGGUUUAAUGUUGGAUCAACCACC